UUAAGUGACUAAGCGUACAAGGUGGAUGCCUUGGCAAUCAGAGGCGAAGAAGGACGUGCUAAUCUGCGAAAAGCUUGGAUGAGUCGAUAAGAGGCGUUUAAUCCAAGAUAUCCGAAUGGGGAAACCCAGUAGAUGAAGAAUCUACUAUCAACAAGUGAAUUCAUAGCUUGUUGAGGCAAACCGGGAGAACUGAAACAUCUAAGUACCCCGAGGAAAAGAAAUCAACCGAGAUUUCGUCAGUAGCGGCGAGCGAAAGCGAAAGAGCCAGUAAGUGAUAGCAGUAUAGUUAGGAGAAUGUGUUGGGAAGCACAAUCAAAGAGGGUGAUAAUCCCGUAUCUAAAAACCAUAUUGUGGUACUAAGCUAACGAGAAGUAGGGCGGGACACGUGAUAUCCUGUUUGAAGAAGGGGGGACCAUCCUCCAAGGCUAAAUACUCCUGAUUGACCGAUAGUGAACCAGUACUGUGAAGGAAAGGCGAAAAGAACCCCGGUGAGGGGAGUGAAAUAGAACCUGAAACCUUGUACGUACAAGCAGUGGGAGCCUGAAAGGGUGACUGCGUACCUUUUGUAUAAUGGGUCAGCGACUUAUAUUUUGUAGCGAGGUUAACUGAAUAAGGGAGCCGAAGGGAAACCGAGUCUUAACUGGGCGAGUAGUUGCAAGGUAUAGACCCGAAACCCGGUGAUCUAGCCAUGGGCAGGUUGAAGGUUGGGUAACACUAACUGGAGGACCGAACCGACUAAUGUUGAAAAAUUAGCGGAUGACUUGUGGCUGGGGGUGAAAGGCCAAUCAAACCGGGAGAUAGCUGGUUCUCCCCGAAAUCUAUUUAGGUAGAGCCUUGAGGUGACACCUUUGGGGGUAGAGCACUGUUUCGGCUAGGGGUCCAUCCCGGAUUACCAACCCGAUGCAAACUACGAAUACCAAAGAGUGAUACUCAGGAGACACACGGCGGGUGCUAACGUCCGUCGUGGAGAGGGAAACAACCCAGACCGCCAGCUAAGGUCCCCAAGUCUAUAUUAAGUGGGAAACGAAGUGGGAAGGCUUAGACAGCUAGGAUGUUGGCUUAGAAGCAGCCAUCAUUUAAAGAAAGCGUAAUAGCUCACUAGUCGAGUCGGCCUGCGCGGAAGAUGUAACGGGGCUCAAAUAUAGCACCGAAGCUGCGGCAUCAGGCGUAUCACUAAUACGCCUUACGAUUAACAAGCUAGAAUAGCGCGAAGCGUCAUGAAAGGUUGUUCAAGCGACCCGAACGUUGAGUCGGGUAUAUUUGAGUGAGGAUGAUUAGUGAUACGCCUGUUGGGUAGGGGAGCGUUGUGUAAGCGGAAGAAGGUUCAUCGAGAGGUGGGCUGGACGUAUCACAAGUGCGAAUGCUGACAUAAGUAACGAUAAAACGGGUGAAAAACCCGUUCGCCGGAAGACCAAGGGUUCCUGUCCAACGUUAAUCGGGGCAGGGUGAGUCGGCUCCUAAGGCGAGGCUGAAAAGCGUAGUCGAUGGGAAACAGGUUAAUAUUCCUGUACUUGGUAAAGCUGCGAUGUGGGGACGGAGUAGGUUAGGUUAUCGCACUGUUGGAUAUGUGCGUUUAAGUUGGUAGGUGGGAAGUUUAGGCAAAUCCGGACUUCCUUAACACAGAGAGAUGAUGACGAGGCUCUACGGAGCUGAAGUAACUGAUACCACACUUCCAGGAAAAGCCACUAAGCGAAAGGCUUUACUAAACCGUACUAAAAACCGACACAGGUGGUCAGGUAGAGAAUACUCAGGCGCUUGAGAGAACUCGGGUGAAGGAACUAGGCAAAAUAGCACCGUAACUUCGGGAGAAGGUGCGCCGGCGUAGAUUGUAGUCCCUAGCGGGCGAAGGUUGAACCGGUCGAAGAUACCAGCUGGCUGCAACUGUUUAUUAAAAACACAGCACUCUGCAAACACGAAAGUGGACGUAUAGGGUGUGAUGCCUGCCCGGUGCUGGAAGGUUAAUUGAUGGUGUCAUCGAAAGAGAAGCACCUGAUCGAAGCCCCAGUAAACGGCGGCCGUAACUAUAACGGUCCUAAGGUAGCGAAAUUCCUUGUCGGGUAAGUUCCGACCUGCACGAAUGGCAUAAUGAUGGCCAGGCUGUCUCCACCCGAGACUCAGUGAAAUUGAAAUCGCCGUGAAGAUGCGGUGUACCCGCGGCUAGACGGAAAGACCCCGUGAACCUUUACUAUAGCUUGACACUGAACAUUGAAUUUUGAUGUGUAGGAUAGGUGGGAGACUUAGAAGCAGUCACGCCAGUGAUUGUGGAGUCAUCCUUGAAAUACCACCCUUUAACGUUUGAUGUUCUAACGAAGAUUGCGGAACGCGGUCUCGGACAGUGUCUGGUGGGUAGUUUGACUGGGGCGGUCUCCUCCCAAAGCGUAACGGAGGAGCACGAAGGUUUGCUAAUCACGGUCGGACAUCGUGAGGUUAGUGCAAUGGUAUAAGCAAGCUUAACUGCGAGACAGACAAGUCGAGCAGGUACGAAAGUAGGUCAUAGUGAUCCGGUGGUUCUGAAUGGAAGGGCCAUCGCUCAACGGAUAAAAGGUACUCCGGGGAUAACAGGCUGAUACCGCCCAAGAGUUCAUAUCGACGGCGGUGUUUGGCACCUCGAUGUCGGCUCAUCACAUCCUGGGGCUGAAGUAGGUCCCAAGGGUAUGGCUGUUCGCCAUUUAAAGUGGUACGCGAGCUGGGUUUAGAACGUCGUGAGACAGUUCGGUCCCUAUCUGCCGUGGGCGUAGGAGAAUUGGUUGGGGCUGCUCCUAGUACGAGAGGACCGGAGUGGACGCACCACUGGUGUUCCGGUUGUGUCGCCAGACGCAUUGCCGGGUAGCUAAGUGCGGAAGAGAUAAGUGCUGAAAGCAUCUAAGCACGAAACUUGCCAAGAGAUGAGUUCUCCCAAUCUAAGAGAUAGUAAGGGUUGUUGUAGACUACGACGUAGAUAGGUCUGGUGUGUAAGUGUAGUGAUACAUUGAGCUAACAGAUACUAAUUGCCCGAGAGGCUUAACUAU
This 3008-nucleotide ribosomal RNA is filed under the name Haemophilus influenzae. RNAcentral's name for it is "bacterial LSU rRNA". It matches the Rfam family "Bacterial large subunit ribosomal RNA". Lineage: Bacteria; Pseudomonadati; Pseudomonadota; Gammaproteobacteria; Pasteurellales; Pasteurellaceae. The record is from RNAcentral.